AUCGUUUUAGGCCUAGGGCAUUUUGAUUUCGGCUCAAAAAGAGUGGGUCAACCCACAAAGCGUU
RNAcentral lists this transfer RNA (64 nucleotides) under Mytilus californianus (California mussel). RNAcentral describes it as "tRNA-Arg". The record is from RNAcentral. Lineage: Eukaryota; Metazoa; Mollusca; Bivalvia; Mytilida; Mytilidae.